This 296-nucleotide long non-coding RNA is filed under the name Panax ginseng (ginseng). RNAcentral's name for it is "long non-coding RNA (PGIN_LNC003231)". Lineage: Eukaryota; Viridiplantae; Streptophyta; Magnoliopsida; Apiales; Araliaceae. The record is from RNAcentral.
CGCUACCCACCGCCCUCUCCACCGCUGCCACCAGCCAACACUGCCCACCACCACCAUCCAGCUGCCAACCACCCAGCCACCACCAACAAACGCUAGUACAUAGUCGCCAAUCUCAUCAUCAUCAAUAUUACACCAGUUCCUAGUCUAGAUUCAGCCAACAUCAUCAUCUCUAACAACUCUAGAUCCCAACACGCUCGACCAUUUUUAUACUUAGAUCCGCCAUCUCUGUUUGGUCAAAAACAAAAAUCAGAUCUGGAUUGUGAAAACUUUCUCCACCAUAGUUGCCGUCAGAUCUG